CAGUCGCCGCGGGAAUACAGAGGAUGCAAGCGUUAUCCGGAAUGAUUGGGCGUAAAGCGUCUGUAGGUGGCUUUUCAAGUCCGCCGUCAAAUCCCAGGGCUCAACCCUGGACAGACGGUGGAAACUACCAAGCUGGAGUGCGGUAGGGGCAGAGGGAAUUUCCGGUGGAGCGGUCAAAUGCGUUGAGAUCGGAAAGAACACCAACGGCGAAAGCACUCUGCUGGGCCGACACUGACACUGAGAGACGAAAGCUAGGGGAGCAAAUGGGAUUAGAUACCCGUGUAGUCCCUGUCUCUUAUAC
This 301-nucleotide ribosomal RNA is filed under the name uncultured bacterium. RNAcentral's name for it is "partial 16S ribosomal RNA". It matches the Rfam family "Bacterial small subunit ribosomal RNA", at positions 509 to 807 of the family's 1533-position model. The record is from RNAcentral.